The sequence is a transfer RNA, 63 nucleotides long. It matches the Rfam family "tRNA", at positions 1 to 60 of the family's 71-position model. Rfam says of the family: Transfer RNA (tRNA) molecules are approximately 80 nucleotides in length. Their secondary structure includes four short double-helical elements and three loops (D, anti-codon, and T loops). Further hydrogen bonds mediate the characteristic L-shaped molecular structure. tRNAs have two regions of fundamental functional importance: the anti-codon, which is responsible for specific mRNA codon recognition, and the 3' end, to which the tRNAs corresponding amino acid is attached (by aminoacyl-tRNA synthetases). tRNAs cope with the degeneracy of the genetic code in two manners: having more than one tRNA (with a specific anti-codon) for a particular amino acid; and 'wobble' base-pairing, i.e. permitting non-standard base-pairing at the 3rd anti-codon position.
GCAGCGGUAGUUCAGUCGGUUAGAAUACCGGCCUGUCACGCCGGGGGUCGCGGGUUCGAGUCC